AGUGAACGCUGGCGGUAGGCCUAACACAUGCAAGUCGAACGGCAGCACAGUAAGAGCUUGCUCUUACGGGUGGCGAGUGGCGGACGGGUGAGGAAUACAUCGGAAUCUACUUUUUCGUGGGGGAUAACGUAGGGAAACUUACGCUAAUACCGCAUACGACCUACGGGUGAAAGCAGGGGAUCUUCGGACCUUGCGCGAUUGAAUGAGCCGAUGUCGGAUUAGCUAGUUGGCGGGGUACAGGCCCACCAAGGCGACGAUCCGUAGCUGGUCUGAGAGGAUGAUCAGCCACACUGGAACUGAGACACGGUCCAGACUCCUACGGGAGGCAGCAGUGGGGAAUAUUGGAAAAUGGGCGCAAGCCUGAGCCAGCCAUACCGCGUGGGUGAAGAAGGCCUGCGGGUUGUAAAGCCCUUUUGUUGGGAAAGAAAAGCAGCAGGUUAAUACCCCGCUGUUCGGACGGUACCCAAAGAAUAAGCACCGGCUAACUUCGU
Molecule: ribosomal RNA, 491 nt
Filed under: uncultured bacterium
Lineage: Bacteria
Description: partial 16S ribosomal RNA
Rfam family: Bacterial small subunit ribosomal RNA
Source: RNAcentral